AUCGCUGGCGGCGCGCUCUACACAUGCAGCGAACGAGAAGCCCGCAAGGGUGAGUAAGUGGCGCACGGGUGAGUACACGUGGGUAAUCUGCCUCUGGGUGGGGAAUAACUCUGGGAAACCGGAGCUAAUACCGCAUAAUCCUGAGAAGGCAAAGGAGAAAUCCGCCGAGAGAGGAGCCCGCGGCCGAUUAGCUGGUUGGUGAGGUAAAGGCUCACCAAGGCGAAGAUCGGUAGCCGGCCUGAGAGGGCACACGGCCACACUGGCACUGAAACACGGGCCAGACUCCUACGGGAGGCAGCAGUGGGGAAUCUUGCACAAUGGGGGAAACCCUGAUGCAGCGACGCCGCGUGAGCGAUGAAGCCCUUCGGGGUGUAAAGCUCUUUCGGCAGGAACGAUGAUGACGGUACCUGAAGAAGAAGCUGCGGCUAACUACGUGCCAGC
Molecule: ribosomal RNA, 441 nt
Filed under: uncultured soil bacterium
Lineage: Bacteria
Description: bacterial SSU rRNA
Rfam family: Bacterial small subunit ribosomal RNA
Source: RNAcentral